This 65-nucleotide small nucleolar RNA is filed under the name Caenorhabditis japonica. RNAcentral describes it as "sRNA CJA48854". It matches the Rfam family "Small nucleolar RNA sn1185". Lineage: Eukaryota; Metazoa; Nematoda; Chromadorea; Rhabditida; Rhabditidae. The record is from Rfam by way of RNAcentral.
AUUGAUGAUGUUCAUCCAGUUCUGCUACUGAAUCAGUGUGAAGAUAUUCUUUCCCCGACUGAGAU